CGUCCUGUGGCUCAAUGGGUCAGUGCGCCUGGCUGUUAACCUGAAGGUUGGUGGUUCAAGCACACCAGGGAUUG
This is a non-coding RNA of Podarcis lilfordi (Lilford's wall lizard), 74 nucleotides long. The record is from the annotation of a GenBank genome assembly. Lineage: Eukaryota; Metazoa; Chordata; Lepidosauria; Squamata; Lacertidae.